Molecule: unclassified non-coding RNA, 123 nt
Filed under: Peribacillus simplex
Lineage: Bacteria; Bacillati; Bacillota; Bacilli; Caryophanales; Bacillaceae
Description: Bacillus simplex yybP-ykoY
Source: RNAcentral
UUCCUUUUCAAAGGGGAGUAGCGUUAGGGUUCGCCCUAAAACAAAGUCGUCAUUACGUGAAUGUUAAACAUUCAUCGGCUUUGUUGACAUGAUUUCAUGUUCAGCAAGACCUUUGCCUAUACG